RNAcentral lists this transfer RNA (73 nucleotides) under Clostridiales bacterium. RNAcentral describes it as "tRNA-Ala". It matches the Rfam family "tRNA". From Rfam's summary of the family: Transfer RNA (tRNA) molecules are approximately 80 nucleotides in length. Their secondary structure includes four short double-helical elements and three loops (D, anti-codon, and T loops). Lineage: Bacteria; Bacillati; Bacillota; Clostridia; Eubacteriales. The record is from RNAcentral.
GGGGGCAUAGCUCAGCUGGGAGAGCGCUUGAAUGGCAUUCAAGAGGUCAGGGGUUCGAUCCCCCUUGUCUCCA